CCCUGCGGAGGGAUCAUUA
RNAcentral lists this ribosomal RNA (19 nucleotides) under Colletotrichum asianum. RNAcentral's name for it is "partial 18S ribosomal RNA". Lineage: Eukaryota; Fungi; Ascomycota; Sordariomycetes; Glomerellales; Glomerellaceae. The record is from RNAcentral.